GGAGGAUUACCCAAGUCUGGUUGAAGGGGACGGUCUUGAAAACCGUCAGACGUUUAAUAACGUGCAUGGGUUCGAAUCCCAUAUACUCCU
Molecule: transfer RNA, 90 nt
Filed under: Lactococcus lactis
Lineage: Bacteria; Bacillati; Bacillota; Bacilli; Lactobacillales; Streptococcaceae
Also listed under: 1 other name
Description: tRNA-Ser
Rfam family: tRNA
About the family: Transfer RNA (tRNA) molecules are approximately 80 nucleotides in length. Their secondary structure includes four short double-helical elements and three loops (D, anti-codon, and T loops).
Source: RNAcentral